GACUGAGUGAAUUUGAUCUGUUCCAUGAUGCAGCCAUGUUUCUACAGGAUAUGGGCCCUAUAGAUCAAGGAGCAGUUCCAUUCUCAUAUACAGAUAAUAUGAUAAAUCAGGUAAGUUACCAGCUGGAACCCCAAUCAAAUAUAAGCCUGAUGGAGCAGCAGUUGCAAACGCAGUCUAAUUUAAACCUGAUGGAUGAGCAAUUGCAACUCCAAUCAAAUAUUAAUCUGAUGGAUCCGCAGUUG
Molecule: long non-coding RNA, 242 nt
Filed under: Theobroma cacao (cacao)
Lineage: Eukaryota; Viridiplantae; Streptophyta; Magnoliopsida; Malvales; Malvaceae
Description: long non-coding RNA (TCAC_LNC005011)
Source: RNAcentral